This 258-nucleotide ribosomal RNA is filed under the name uncultured bacterium. RNAcentral's name for it is "partial 16S ribosomal RNA". It matches the Rfam family "Bacterial small subunit ribosomal RNA", at positions 96 to 354 of the family's 1533-position model. The record is from RNAcentral.
UGACGGACGGGUGAGUAACGCGUGGAAAACCUGCCGUAUACUGGGGGAUAACACUUAGAAAUAGGUGCUAAUACCGCAUAAGCGCACAGCUUCGCAUGAAGCGGUGUGAAAAACUCUGGUGGUAUACGAUGGUUCCGCGUCUGAUUAGCUAGUUGGUGGGGUAAUGGCCUACCAAGGCAACGAUCAGUAGCCGGCCUGAGAGGGUGAACGGCCACAUUGGGACUGAGACACGGCCCAAACUCCUACGGAAGGCAGCAG